UGCCGGUUAGCUCAUGGGUGGAACGUUUGAUGAGGUGUGGGGGAGUGAUCUUCGAGUUAGUACGGCCUUCGGGUUGGGAACGCUGGGGGUGAGUGAGCCGGCACAUGCACGCUGUUGGGUCCUGAGGGACCGGAUGCGCUCUGAUCUUCGGAUUGGGAGCAGACGAACCUCAGGACUCUUUCUGUUGCCGGCUGGUGCUGGUGCGGGGAGGGUACCGCCCGUACUUUGAGAACUACACAGUGGACGCGAGCAUCUUCGAGAUGAGUAAUCAUCUCGUGAAGAUGAUCUUAAAGAUCAUUAGUCAAUUUCGAUUGACGAUUCAAACUCAUGUGAUU
RNAcentral lists this unclassified non-coding RNA (335 nucleotides) under Microbacterium sp. 1-9. RNAcentral describes it as "16S-23S ribosomal RNA intergenic spacer". The record is from RNAcentral. Lineage: Bacteria; Bacillati; Actinomycetota; Actinomycetes; Micrococcales; Microbacteriaceae.